AGGAAUAUUGGUCAAUGGACGAGAGUCUGAACCAGCCAAGUAGCGUGAAGGAUGACUGCCCUAUGGGUUGUAAACUUCUUUUAUAUGGGAAUAAAGUGGUCCACGUGUGGAUUUUUGUAUGUACCAUAUGAAUAAGGAUCGGCUAACUCCGUGCCAGCAGCCGCGGUAAUACGGAGGAUGCGAGCGUUAUCCGGAUUUAUUGGGUUUAAAGGGAGCGCAGACGGGGGAUUAAGUCAGUUGUGAAAGUUUGCGGCUCAACCGUAAAAUUGCAGUUGAUACUGGUUCCCUUGAGUGCAGUUGAGGCAGGCGGAAUUCGUGGUGUAGCGGUGAAAUGCAUAGAUAUCACGAAGAACUCCGAUUGCGAAGGCAGCUUACCGGAGCGCAACUGACGCUGAGGCUCGAAAGCGCGGGUAUCGAACAGGAUUAGAUACCCUGGUAGUCCGCGCGGUAAACGAUGGAUGCCCGCCGUUGGGAUUUAGACUUCAGCGGCCAAGCGAAAGCGUUAAGCAUCCCACCUGGGGAGUACGCCGGCAACGGUGAAACUCAAAGGAAUUGACGGGGGCCCGCACAAGCGGAGGAACAUGUGGUUUAAUUCGAUGAUACGCGAGGAACCUUACCCGGGCUUAAAUUGCAGACGAAUUACCUGGAAACAGGUAAGCCGCAAGGCGUCUGUGAAGGUGCUGCAUGGUUGUCGUCAGCUCGUGCCGUGAGGUGUCGGCUUAAGUGCCAUAACGAGCGCAACCCUCGUGGCCAGUUACUAGCAGGUAACGCUGAGGACUCUGGCCAGACUGCCAUCGUAAGAUGCGAGGAAGGUGGGGAUGACGUCAAAUCAGCACGGCCCUUACGUCCGGGGCUACACACGUGUUACAAUGGGAGGUACAGAAGGCAGCUACCCGGCGACGGGAUGCCAAUCUCCAAAGCCUCUCUCAGUUCGGACUGGAGUCUGCAACCCGACUCCACGAAGCUGGAUUCGCUAGUAAUCGCGCAUCAGCCACGGCGCGGUGAAUACGUUCCCG
This 1016-nucleotide ribosomal RNA is filed under the name uncultured bacterium. RNAcentral describes it as "bacterial SSU rRNA". It matches the Rfam family "Bacterial small subunit ribosomal RNA", at positions 357 to 1376 of the family's 1533-position model. The record is from RNAcentral.